Phoenix dactylifera (date palm) is the source of this 110-nucleotide small nucleolar RNA. RefSeq annotates it as small nucleolar RNA snoR97. The record is from RefSeq and is a predicted model, not a curated record. NCBI's taxonomy places the organism in Eukaryota, Viridiplantae, Streptophyta, Magnoliopsida, Arecales, Arecaceae.
UUUUCAAGGUGGCAUUGGACGUCAAAAGAGAACUCAUACAGUUGGUGUUGUCAUCACCUUCGUCUCUGCUAACCAAAUAGAGACUGGAGUUGAAUAGCAACACAAGAUAU